UUGUGAGUACCAUCAUUACUGGGAUACUCUGCAUGUCAGGUUUUCUGAUGUGUUGAACACUUUGGACACUUUAGGAUGUCUACUCGACACUUCAUACCAUCAUUACAUGUAUACUUUUGGCACUUUAUAUGAUGAUUUUUUAAAUCUGGCAUAACCAUUAGCAACUAUUUUAUCAAAAUAUUAUUAACCCAAGGAGCAUAAAUCUAGCUCAUUGUUCGUUAUAUGCAUAUAUACAUAUUUACAUGGAGACAUGUCUCCAUCUCCGGUUUUACAAGAUUCCCAUGUCAGAUUUUUCUAGCCACUUGGACACUUGACACCCAUAUCACAUGUCCAUGUCACUGAUUAGUACUUGUACUUAACAAGCACUCAUGAAAUGAUCAACAGUUAAAUACAUCCAAGUGAGCAACCUUAACUUACACAAUAUAGAUUCUUUUAUAGGGUUAGUCAUGCCUCUUAUC
This 458-nucleotide long non-coding RNA is filed under the name Phoenix dactylifera (date palm). RNAcentral's name for it is "long non-coding RNA (PDAC_LNC022469)". Lineage: Eukaryota; Viridiplantae; Streptophyta; Magnoliopsida; Arecales; Arecaceae. The record is from RNAcentral.